Anas platyrhynchos (mallard) is the source of this 2913-nucleotide long non-coding RNA. RefSeq lists it as uncharacterized. The record is from RefSeq and is a predicted model, not a curated record. NCBI's taxonomy places the organism in Eukaryota, Metazoa, Chordata, Aves, Anseriformes, Anatidae.
CUCUCCUCACUGGUACACAGGGAUCUAUCCUUUUGUUUUCAAGUUAUUAAAAUUAUAAAAGUGUUGUUGAUUAGUAGCAUGGAGGAUGCAGAGUUUGUAAGCAACAGGAGACAAAGGUGUGGGUUCCUAAAAAGACUGCUGACUUCACGCUGGGAAGCACUCAGGAUAAGCAAAAGCCUGCAGAGAAAACAAAGCUGUUGGUUUAGGACGUGGAGCAGAAGGUGCGGGGGAACCUGCCGGAGGCUCCUGCUGCGCGGGGUCGUGGGUCGCGGUAGAGCAGCCGGCUCGGGAUCAAGCUCAAGGUUCUCAAGUGAUGGAAAAACCGUUUGACACAACGUCUCUGCGAGCCUGCCUUGCUAACGUGAGCCAGCUGAGGGAACACAAACAGAGGCACUGUAACCAGCCCAAAUCCCACCUUCCUCUGAAACUUCCAAGCCUCUUUUUUCCUGUCAGAUUCCAGACAGAUGAAAUUUUCCUGGCGUGGGCUCACUCCUGAUUUAUCGCGAUUCAGAGAUGUUGCCAGGACUUGAGUUUGCUGAUUGACAGGCCAGGAAGGGAAGGUGUCUGGCCCCGCAGAUCAAAUACGGCCUCAUCUGCCCCCGUUCUGCCUCCUCCUUCAGGACUUGCCAUGCUAUUUCUCAUUUUCUGGAAAUCCCAACUUAAAUUUGAUUCCAAAGCCCGGUUGAUACUGUUGUUUGCAUGAUAGUGUCAAGAGUGAGCACAUUCCUUGGAUCAUAAAUCAUCUCAACCUGACCCCAAUUAAUUACAGGCCCUGGGUUUCAUUUCUCUCGGUUCUUACCAGCCAUAACAAAUGAGGUCAUUCUGUGUCAGUGAGACAUCGGAGCAGACACCACUGAGGAAGUCACAGGGGACUCUGAUCCCGUUAUGCUGCAGGAAGAGUAGAGGAGAAGGAAUGGGCCACAUCCUCCCAUUGCUUCCUAAAUAGGAGCCAUGGGAUGCUCAGCAGCAGAGUUAAAGUUGUUUUUUUUUUUUUUAUAAGGAUGCAUGAAAACUAUUUAAGUUUUAUUUAAAUUUUGGCAAUGUAGUGAAUGAGGCAAUCUUGGAUGCUGAGGACUACCAAGCUUGCAAGAAAUGUCUUGGGUGAACCCAUCCAAGCCCUUGUGCUCCAGCUGGAGCACAUUCAAUUGGGUCUUGAGCUCAGGUGCACAUCAGAGGCAUCUGAAGGGGCAUAAAAGUGCAGUAACAAUGCAAUAAUGGUGAAUGAUCAGAAAUUCUGUCUCUGUGGAAGGGCAGUUGGAUCCAUUUUGUAAGGACUACCAGCAAGAGAAAUUUCCUAAAAACCCUAGAUCCUUUUCAUUAAAAAUGCAUGUGUAAUGAGAUGAAAAGAGAUGCAGAAUUGAACCACAGCUGCACAAUAAUAUAUUAUUAGUUAUGGCAUAGGCAUUGCAAAGCAUGGAAAAAAGGAUGGAGAAUGGUUCAUUACAAACUGGAAUUGGGGCAAGUGAGCACGGCUGGGGUAUCUCACGAGAAGAGAGCAGGGGCUGAGCCACCUGGGCUGAAUUGUAAGGCUUCAUCUGUAUAUACAUGUAAAGUACACAGGUGUAUUUUUCACCACGUGUUGCCUCCUCACCUGCCCAAAUUGUUGUGUUCACUGUGACUAGAGGGCUAACUGGCUAUGAAUGAUGGCCUGAUACUACAUGAGAUGCAUUCUCAAUGCUAGCCAGCUUCACAUCUGAAGAAUAAUUAUAUAUAUAUUUUUAAUCCCCAUUAAAAGCUACCUGCCAUUUAACCCUGUCUACCACUGUCUACUUCUGGACGGAGUAACAUUGGUUUUUAUCUGUGAAACCUCAUACUGUUAAAUGCGAUGAGCUCAUCCUAUUUCUUGGCAUCGUCUCAUCUUGAUUUUGGCAGAGACAGAAUGAGAUUUCAGCAGAGAGAAGACGGUAAUAAAAGCUCAUUUUUCUCCUAAAAAUAAUGCUGGUUGAGUUAGUCCUAAAAACUGUGAAAGGAAAGUGAACAUCCAAGCCAAGUUUCAUAUUUGAAGCUGUAUGCAGAUUCCAAAUCCAACAUUAUUGCCCUUGUGUUGUUUUCCAAAUGGUAUUAUAUUCUUCAGAUGCACAAAAGACAGUAAAGCAAGUGCAGCUGUUUUUCUCAGCAUCCAGAGGCUGAUCUCCAAAGGACAACUUUUUGACUGACCUCAGAAUAUUUGUUGUGCCCAUCCUCAGUUCUAGAAAGCUUCAGGUGCCAUCUCCUCUCCAGCUGCCUCUCAGCUUGUUGCUAUAAGUAGGGUGCUGCCAUUGAUCUACCUGACUGGGGCUCCAGAAGUCUCGGUUCCCCUGCAAGUGCUCUGCCAGCAUUUCCCAAAUUCCUGCUUUCCAUCUGGAAAAGGAGGGCACCAGGGGACCACUUUUGCUUUCUUCUGGAAGUUUGGUAUUUGAAAUGACAAAGUGCCUUAAGGCAAGACCUGCUCUGAGCUGAGCUCUGAUCUCAGCUGAAGUCUCUUGGUGCUACUGAACCCCAAGGAUAAAUAACUGAGAAUACUUUCCACUGAGUUUGUCUCCAUUAUGGCUUUCUCUGACUUUAUAAAUGCUCUGCUAGAAUUGGGAGGCUUUUUCGAAGAAAUUUUGCAAAAGCACAAGAGCAGGAAGAAUUUGAUUCUUGCAGUAGAAUGACUUUUUUUUCCAUGCUUAUUUGUCUAGCGCUUGAAUGGUUGGAAAUGUCUUCUCAGUAUGUGCAUUAAAGACUUCCUGCCUGGAGUGUGCAAAGGACUCCGAGCAUUCACAGGAUAUUAAACAGAUUCGUAAUGGAACCCAACAGUAUAAACAUGUCUUCAGUGCAGACAGGAAUGCCACAAACCCUUAUGUCGUGUAAUGUAAAACAUACCCCGGUUGUGUCUGUCUUCUCUUCUGCAAAUAAACAAGGCAGAGAUGUGUUUAAAAUGUUUCCUUCUGA